GACGAACGCUGGCGGCGUGCUUAACACAUGCAAGUCGAACGGAAAGGCCCUGCUUUUGUGGGGUGCUCGAGUGGCGAACGGGUGAGUAACACGUGAGUAACCUGCCCUUGACUUUCGGAUAACUUCAGGAAACUGGGGCUAAUACCGGAUAGGAGCUCCUGCUGCAUGGUGGGGGUUGGAAAGUUUCGGCGGUUGGGGCUGGACGCGCGGCUUAUCAGCUUGUUGGUGGGGUAGUGGCUUACCAAGGCUUUGACGGGUAGCCGGCCUGAGAGGGUGACCGGCCACAUUGGGACUGAGAUACGGCCCAGACUCCUACGGGAGGCAGCAGUGGGGAAUAUUGCACAAUGGGCGGAAGCCUGAUGCAGCAACGCCGCGUGCGGGAUGACGGCCUUCGGGUUGUAAACCGCUUUCGCCUGUGACGAAGCGUGAGUGACGGUAAUGGGUAAAGAAGCACCGGCUAACUACGUG
This 468-nucleotide ribosomal RNA is filed under the name uncultured bacterium. Its description in RNAcentral is "partial 16S ribosomal RNA". It matches the Rfam family "Bacterial small subunit ribosomal RNA", at positions 28 to 507 of the family's 1533-position model. The record is from RNAcentral.